This is a small nuclear RNA of Cavia porcellus (domestic guinea pig), 103 nucleotides long. NCBI's taxonomy places the organism in Eukaryota, Metazoa, Chordata, Mammalia, Rodentia, Caviidae. The record is from Ensembl.
UUGCUUUGGCAGCACAUGCACUAAAAUUGGAACAAUACAGUGAAGAUUAGCAUGGCCACCACACGAGGAUGGCAUGUAAAUCCUUGAAGCCUUUUUUAUGUAA